UGAUUUUUUCUGCUAUCGCACUCAUCCGGGUUUUAGGCAUCCUCAGUCUGCCCAGAACUUUCGUUGUGGAAAGAUGUGCGGGAGUGAUGUGCGAUUUCUUGUGGUCCCUACUUUCCUUGUUUACGUUUUGCGCAGUGUUGCUUCUUCUUCCAUUGUGGAAUGAUUUAUCCUAGCUAACUUGUUGAGUUACAGGUGCAUGCGCCAUUCAUCAACGCCUACGUGUUGGCAUCAUCAACAAUCUUUAAAGUGGGUGACGAAAAGAAAUUGUUUUCCAGUUUUAAAAUAUUAAGCGUUCAGCACAACUCAGCCACAAAACAACGCACUGGAUUACGCUAAGAACCUGUCGAAACGCGCGCAGCCCCCGGGAGCGGUAGGAGAAAGGAAGAACGAGAGGAGGAAAAACUAAAGCCAGCGCGCAGCUCUGAUGGUACCCCGGACGCGGUAAGAAGAAAAAAGAUCGAGAGGAGGAAGAACGGUAAAUUUGGAAGGGGGAGACCGUUCUGCCGUCUCCACAGUGUGAGUAUGCCAAAACACGUGUUGGAAGGGAGAGAAAAAGUGUGGAAUAAACCGCAUGCGAAUGCGUGCAUACAGCAAAAGUAAA
Molecule: long non-coding RNA, 601 nt
Organism: Anopheles arabiensis
Lineage: Eukaryota; Metazoa; Arthropoda; Insecta; Diptera; Culicidae
Exons: 3
Source: RefSeq, a predicted model, not a curated record